Molecule: ribosomal RNA, 478 nt
Filed under: uncultured bacterium
Lineage: Bacteria
Description: bacterial SSU rRNA
Rfam family: Bacterial small subunit ribosomal RNA
Source: RNAcentral
AACUAACGCUAGCGGCGUGCCUAACACAUGCAAGUCGUACGAGAAAGUCGGCUUCGGCCGGCGAGUAAAGUGGCGCACGGGUGAGUAACGCGUGGAUAAUCUACCCUUGAGUUGGGAAUAACGUGCCGAAAGGUGCGCUAAUACCGAAUAAUACUGAGUGACUAAUGUUGCUUAGUCAAAGAAGGCCUCUGCUUGCAAGCUUUCGCUGAAGGAUGAGUCCGCGUACCAUUAGCUAGUUGGUAGGGUAAUGGCCUACCAAGGCAACGAUGGUUAGCUGGUCUGAGAGGAUGAUCAGCCACACUGGAACUGAGACACGGUCCAGACUCCUACGGGAGGCAGCAGUGAGGAAUAUUGCGCAAUGGGGGCAACCCUGACGCAGCAACGCCGCGUGAGUGAGGAAGGUUUUCGGACCGUAAAGCUCUGUCGAGCGGGAAGAAAUGCAUGCUGGCUAAUAUCCAUCAUGCUUGACGGUACCGCU